Long non-coding RNA from Triplophysa dalaica, 2206 nucleotides. RefSeq lists it as uncharacterized. The record is from RefSeq and is a predicted model, not a curated record. The transcript has 6 exons. Lineage: Eukaryota; Metazoa; Chordata; Actinopteri; Cypriniformes; Nemacheilidae.
CGGCAGUCAGAAGAACGCGCGUGCAGUGGUUCAGUGUUCCAGUGAAUGUGAACUCUUUCAUUCAGACACACGUGAUGUCAGUGCAGAUGUGAAAUCAUCAUCACCACACACUGGACUCUGUGUUUGUGUAGAAAUAAAAACUCGUUAUGGACACUUAUGGAAAUAUUGCGUUCAUACUGUACUACUGUUCUAUCAUCACAGCAUCUUCACCUUCUGCUCAGACGUCCAUAAGGAGAAGAGAUGAAGUGUCUGAUCAUGUCGACAUGUCCUCAUCCUUCAUCAGAGAUCAGACAGAGAACACACCUCACACACUACACACUACAGCAGAUGAGCGUCGACUGAACACCACUGAGAACAUCACAGAUUUUUCACCUGUCAAUCAUCAGACAACAUUAACACUCGCUCAACUCCUGCCAUCCACAACACAACAUCCUGAGACCACCGCCGUCCAUCAGACAUCAUAUACCACCAUUCAUCUGACAACACAACGUCCUGAGACCACUGACCAUCUGACACCCACCGACACUCAGAAAUCCCCCUGACAUCAGCUGCAGUCAUCAUCAGCAGUCCUGCGCAGCCAGAUGCUCGUGUGGAAACUCCGUCUGCACUCAAUGUCGGAGAUGAUGUUUUGGACAUCUACCCCAGAGAGUCUUCUGAUCCACUGCUGGCCGGUCUCGUGUCUGCGUUUGUCAUCAUCGCUGCUGUUGUGUCCGUCCUCAUAUUCCUGACAUUCAGAAACAGAAACGAUGGAGCAGAAUUCAGCAGACUGAGAGAUCUGCCCAUGGAAGAUAUGCUGGAGGACGCUCCUCUCUCCACAUACAACUACUGAACACACUCGUGUCUUCAUGUGUCGUCUCUCUUCACCAACAGAGAGAUAGACAUUAGACAGACAGACAGACAGAUCUGAGGCGGACCGACAGAUGUGAGACAGACAUGAAAAAGACCUGAGAUGGAUAGACGUGAGACAGACGUGCGACAGACCCGAGACAGACGUGAGACGUAAGACAGACAGACCUGAGACAGAUGUGAGACAGACAGCUUAUGAUGAGCUCAUGUUGUCUCUGUUACAGAAAUGAUCUUGAACACUUUAUGUUGACUUUGAGAACAGGUUUUGUGCCGGUGAACUCCACAUCUACUCAGUUCAGAUCAACUUCAGCCCUCUGUGUUUGUUUUACUCUGUCAAGUCUUCUGUGGGAUGUUCCAGUAUAUUAUGGGCUUGUGAGGUGGUUUGAGGUUCACAUGCAUCUGAAGGACACACUCACACACGAUCUGACUGAUCUGUACAAAUGUGAACGUAAAGUUGUUUUCUGAGCAAACACUGGUUAACAGACAAACUGCUUCCGAAGUUUUAAGCCCUAAUCCUAAUAUAAUUGAAAUACAAUAUAAAAACAUGUGCCAUCAGUGAUCAAUGCAGAUUUGUCAAUGAAUUUGUACAUGUGUUUAUGUUGGAAAAGCUUUAUUAAUAUCAGUAAAUAACGAUGAUGUUGGUGUUAAUACAGCAUGUGAUACUGAUCACUUGGAUUGAAAGUUUUCUGACACGUUUUAAAACUAUUAAUCUUCAAAUAAAACACUUGUGUAUUCAAGUCAUUGCUCUUAACGUCUUAUCAAUACCAACACAACAUCUCAAUGAAAUAAUGUGUAGUCAGCUCAUGUUAUUAAACUGAAGACUACAGUGAAGACAGAUCCAUUUGAACACUCCUCACUAAAACUCUUCAACAUCAGUUCAUGUUUCAGGAAGAGAUCAAGAUGAGUCCAUCAUCUGCUAACUCAUGGUCCUCUGUAAACACCUGAAUCUGAACACCUAAACAAACAAAGCUGUGAACUCCUCCUCGACUGUUCUCAACACUGCUAGUCACAAACCAAGGUUCUGACUGGACGCUUACAUUUAAAAAUAAUUUUAUGGCUCCAUUUUAUAACUUAUUUCAUGAGCUAAUCCAUCAGAAACACUCACGUGUCUCAACUGUCUGUGGGUGUGUGUGGUCUUGUUUAUAUCCCGGUGGGGACUUAAAACCUGAAUGCACACCUUCUAAUGGGGACUCGCGUCACCGUGGUGAUCAAUAUGGAUGUUCCUAUGGGACAACAGACACAAUAGAUUGAGUGUUCUCUGUUCCUCUGACACUUUAUUCAUUUCACUGAGGUCACUCAAAGGUCACUGAGACUGAGAUCCGGUGGACUGCUUGAACCUCCAUCCACACCUUCAGCUCCA